AGAGCGAACGCUGGCGGCAGGCCUAACACAUGCAAGUCGAACGGACCCUUCGGGGUUAGUGGCGGACGGGUGAGUAACACGUGGGAACGUGCCUUUUGGUUCGGAAUAGCUCCUGGAAACGGGUGGUAAUGCCGAAUGUGCCCUUCGGGGGAAAGAUUUAUCGCCAUUAGAGCGGCCCGCGUCUGAUUAGCUAGUUGGUGAGGUAAUGGCUCACCAAGGCGACGAUCAGUAGCUGGUCUGAGAGGAUGACCAGCCACAUUGGGACUGAGACACGGCCCAAACUCCUACGGGAGGCAGCAGGUGGGGAAUCUUGCGCAAUGGGCGAAAGCCUGACGCAGCCAUCGCCGCGUGAAUGAUGGAA
This 361-nucleotide ribosomal RNA is filed under the name uncultured soil bacterium. Its description in RNAcentral is "bacterial SSU rRNA". It matches the Rfam family "Bacterial small subunit ribosomal RNA", at positions 26 to 413 of the family's 1533-position model. The record is from RNAcentral.